AAUUAUUAAAAAAUAUUUAGAAAAUAUUAUUAGAAAAUAUUUGAUACAAACUGUCAAAACAUGUCUGAAGUAAAUAAACACGAAGUGAGCUUUUCUCCACUUUUUGCCUGCUGUUAUAAGACACUUGAGAAUGAUACCCAUCAUGGAGUUUUUUGAAGAUUUUUUAAUUUCCUGUGUUAGUACUCUGUCAGGUAACAUGGAAGUCCAAGAACCUGUUUGUCCGAAUUUCUCUCCCUGGACAGAUGAGUUCUUCAUGAGCACAGUGCCAGAUCGACUGUACAUCUCUGCUGUUAUCAUACCUCUUGCUGUGGGGCUGCUUUGUGUGAUUGUGGCCAUGUUAAUGGUGAACAACCAGAAGAAAGUUCGCCAGGAAAAACUUAAAGACUUUGGUAAGAUUUUCCUCAAUUGUCACCGGUGUUCAAAGUGUAUAACAAUAUGUUGUAAAUAUUUAUUUACAUAAUUCUAUAAUUAUAUACAUAUUUUAAAAAAAUACACACACACACACACACACACACACACACACACACAUCUUCAGAACCGCUUGUCCCAUAGGGUCACAUUGUCACAGGGAACCAGAGCCAACCCGGCAACACAGGGCGUAGGGCCGGAGGGGGAGGGGACACACCCAGGACGGGACGCCAGUCCGUCGCAAGGCACCCCAAGUGGGACUCGAACCCCAGACCCACUGGAGAGCAGGACCCGGUCCAACCCACUGCGCCACUGCACCCCCUUUUAAAAAAAAUAAUUUUAUUAAUUUUAAUUUUAUUCUUAAAAUUUUUUAUCAUCUUAUUGCAAUUGGAAUUUAAAGAGAGUACUAUAUAUGGCUCUUUUUAAAUAUCUUUUAUUAUUUAUUGCGUUUAAAUUUAAAUUUGAAUAACUGAUGUUAGAUCUUUGAAAUGGUGGGUUGGACCGGGUCCUCCUCUCGGAUGGGUCUGGGGUUCAAGUCCCGCUUGGGGUGCCUUGCGACGGACUGGCGUCCCAUCCUGGGUGUGUCCCCUCCCCCUACAGCCUUAGGCCCUGUGUUUCCGGGUUAGGCUUCAGCUCCCCGCGACCUCGAAUGGGACAAGUGGUUCAGAAAAUGUGUGUGCGCGUGUGUGUAGAUCUUUGAAAGUGGUGGAAGUCGUUAGAAGGAGUAGUGUAUUAAGUAUACAUAUCCACAAAACACUAACUUUCUGUUCUUUCAUUACAGACAAUGUCGUAGGACAGUUGAAGCAGUUGCGAGAAGGUAAAAAAGUAAAAUCCCUUAAGAUUUUAACAAAUGGCUCCUUAACAUAGAGAAUGAAUCAAACAGUGAUGCAUGCUUGUAUUUUUUGCAGAGCACAGCACACAGAAGAAGAUAAAUGGUAUGAAUUUCACCAAUAAAGCAGUUCUCCACGAUACA
This 1381-nucleotide long non-coding RNA is filed under the name Scleropages formosus (Asian bonytongue). RNAcentral describes it as "lncRNA (ENSSFOG00015029319.1)". The record is from RNAcentral. Lineage: Eukaryota; Metazoa; Chordata; Actinopteri; Osteoglossiformes; Osteoglossidae.